Molecule: ribosomal RNA, 433 nt
Filed under: uncultured bacterium
Lineage: Bacteria
Description: partial 16S ribosomal RNA
Rfam family: Bacterial small subunit ribosomal RNA
Source: RNAcentral
AACGAACGCUGGCGGCAUGCCUAACACAUGCAAGUCGAACGAGACCUCCGGGACUAGUGGCGCACGGGUGCGUAACGUGUGGGAACCUGCCCUUAGGCUCGGAAUAACACUCCGAAAGGGGUGCUAACACCGGAUAAUGUCUUCGGAUCAAAGAUUUAUCGUCUUUGGAUGGGCCGGCGUUGGAUUAGCCAGUUGGUAGGGUAAAAGCCUACCAAGGAGAAGAUCCAUAGCUGGUCAGAGAGGAUGGUCAGCCACACUGGGACGGAGACACGGCCCAGACUCCUACAGGAGGCAGCAGUGGGGAAUAUUGGACAAUGGGCGAAAGCCUGAUCCAGCACUGCCGCGUGAGUGAUGAAGGCCUUAGAGUUGUAAAGCUCUUUUACCCGGGAUGAUAAUGACAGUACCGAAAGAAUAAGCUCCGGCUAACUCCGUG